Molecule: unclassified non-coding RNA, 1583 nt
Organism: Stegodyphus dumicola
Lineage: Eukaryota; Metazoa; Arthropoda; Arachnida; Araneae; Eresidae
Source: RefSeq, a predicted model, not a curated record
UUUUACUUUUUAAACUAUUUUCCUGUACUUUUAAAAGUAAUAUACAUUAAUUUUGCCUUCAGAAAGUUUAGAAUUAGGAAUUAAACAUUUUUCCUUGUGUAUGUAUGAUCAUUAUAUUUAGGAAAGAACAGGCUAAUUUGAAUUUUCAGUAAAUAGUUAAUUAAAGCAUGCACUGAAUGUAAUAUAAUAAAAUAUAUAUGAGACCUGAAAUUGAUGUAUAUUUGAACUAUUUUUCUAAGUACAUUUACAUCAAGAAAAUGAUUGUUACUAAACAAGAAAAACAAUUAACUUUUGAAUUUGUAAACACUUUUUUCUCCCUUGUGUACUAUUAAUCAGCCUAGUGUACCUUCAAAGUCUGAAAUGGAUAUUUUAGUGGAUAAAAUCAAAUGUCCUGUAAGUAAGACUUUGAGUAUUAGUUGUCUAAUGUGAGGUAUCGCAUGACAGUAUUCUAAAACUUGAAUUAAUUUUCAUAAAAGAAAUUUUAUUUGGUAUUUGUGUAUUAACCACUACUGAGAACUUCAGUUGCUACCAGGCUUUGGCAAUAACUUGCCGAAAACUGUCUGCCUUCUCUUUCCAGCCAUAUUUUCAACUUUUGCUACCCAACGAGUCUCUUGCAUUUGAGAUAUAACAGAAUAGAAGCUGACAUUUUUUCAGUUCCUUUCAAUCUCAGACUAUUGCCCUUAAUUCCUCUGCAAUAUCUCAGUUAAAUAUAGUAUGUUGGGAAAAUAUAGGAUAGAUAACAAGAAUGAGAGCUAGAGACUGAUUUGAAGGAAGCUAGGUUAUGGUUAGAACAGUUACAUAAUUUAUUUAUUGUUUUGAAAGGAAUUAACAUGAAUCAGAUUUUGCAAAGAUGUACUGGAUGUUGUGGACAAAACUGUGAUAACUUGUCAAAUCUUUAAGAAAUGUGUGUUACUGAAGAAGGAAAACUCCAAAGUCCUCAGUAUCUAAAUUCUGAACUGAAGUCUGUGCUACUCGAAUUGCUCCCCGAGUUAUCUAGACACCAACUGAAAUUUCUGGUAGAAGUACAUAUGGAAGAUUUUAUCAUACAGCAUAAAUAUCCAUGGGGUAAUAGGCAAAACAAAGCUCUUAAUAAAGGAAAAUUUUCCUAAAGAAAUAUAUUUAGAUCCUUAUCAGAUUCCAAGAACAAUAAGUAAUCUUGAAAUAAAGAUUCCUCAGAUUCAGUUUAUUAAUACUGAAACCCCAGCUUAUAAUGCUCAACCUUUGUAUAUAGAACUUUAUUCAUGCUCAAAGAAUGGCUCUCAUAAUGUGGAUGUUCCAUUUCAUGUAAGAUACAUAAAGCCACAAGAAUGUGACAUUCUUGGAGAAACUGUUGAGAUAGAGCUAAGACCACCAUCUGUUUUUGUUACAAGUAAUGAUUCCACAUGUACUACUGGUGAUACUGAAGUUGGUUCUUGGAAAACUUUAGAACAUGAAAUGCAUUCUAUAAGUUUUCAGGUACCUGUUGGGUGCAAAGAACAUUUUAACGCAGUUUUAUAUCUAACUCUGCUUGCAGUAGGAUUAUCAACUAUGUAUAUAUUCCAUGUACUAUUUCGCAUUAAAGUUUGAUUUGUAAAAAAAAGAAA